Molecule: ribosomal RNA, 442 nt
Filed under: uncultured bacterium
Lineage: Bacteria
Description: bacterial SSU rRNA
Rfam family: Bacterial small subunit ribosomal RNA
Source: RNAcentral
GUGAACGCUGGCGGCAUGCCUAACACAUGCAAGUCGAACGAACAUACUAGCUUGCUAGUAUAGUUAGUGGCAUACGGGUGAGUAACGCGUGGGAAUCUACCCAAUAGUAAGGAAUAGCAUUUGGAAACGAAUGGUAAUACCAUAUAAGCUCUACGGAGGAAAGAUUUAUCGCUAUUGGAUGAGCCCGCGUCAGAUUAGGUAGUUGGUAGGGUAAUGGCCUACCAAGCCUUUGAUCUGUAGCUGGUCUGAGAGGAUGAUCAGCCACACUGGGACUGAGACACGGCCCAGACUCCUACGGGAGGCAGCAGUGGGGAAUAUUGGACAAUGGGCGAAAGCCUGAUCCAGCAAUGCCGCGUGAGUGAUGAAGGCCUUAGGGUUGUAAAGCUCUUUCAGUAGGGAAGAUAAUGACGGUACCUACAGAAGAAGCACCGGCAAACUUCGU